AGAGUUUGAUCAUGGCUCAGAAUCAACGCUGGCGGCGUGCCUCAGACAUGCAAGUCGAACGAUUAAAGCUCUCUUCGGAGAGUGUAUAGAGUGGCGCACGGGUGAGUAACACGUAAGUAAUCUACCUUUGAGUGGGGAAUAACAGUCGGAAACGACUGCUAAUACCGCAUAAUGCAGCGGCACCGCAAGGUGACAGUUGUUAAAGGAGCAAUCCGCUUAAAGAGGAGCUUGCGGCAGAUUAGCUAGUUGGUAAGGUAAUGGCUUACCAAGGCUACGAUCUGUAUCCGGUCUAAGAGGACGGUCGGACACACUGACACUGAAUAACGGGUCAGACUCCUACGGGAGGCAGCAGUCGGGAAUUUUGGGCAAUGGGCGAAAGCCUGACCCAGCAACGCCGCGUGAAGGAUGAAGUAUUUCGGUAUGUAAACUUCGAAAGAAUAGGAAGAAUAAAUGACGGUACUAUUAUAAGUC
Molecule: ribosomal RNA, 471 nt
Filed under: uncultured Acidobacteriaceae bacterium
Lineage: Bacteria; Pseudomonadati; Acidobacteriota; Terriglobia; Terriglobales; Acidobacteriaceae
Description: bacterial SSU rRNA
Rfam family: Bacterial small subunit ribosomal RNA
Source: RNAcentral